Molecule: non-coding RNA, 194 nt
Filed under: Thauera linaloolentis
Lineage: Bacteria; Pseudomonadati; Pseudomonadota; Betaproteobacteria; Rhodocyclales; Zoogloeaceae
Also listed under: 1 other name
Source: RNAcentral
GCGCCCUUCGAGCUUCGGGGUGCCCGCGCCUGCCGCGGGAGAAUCGGGAAGGCGGUGAAAGUCCGCCGCGCGCCCAGCGCCGUGAAGGGGAUCGUCCGGACAAGGUUUGCCCAGUCACUGGCCCGCGAGGGCCGGGAAGGCGUCCGGACGGGAUGAUCCUUAGCCGGAAGACCGGCCCCGAAGCGUUCAAGCAG